Molecule: long non-coding RNA, 685 nt
Organism: Talpa occidentalis (Iberian mole)
Lineage: Eukaryota; Metazoa; Chordata; Mammalia; Eulipotyphla; Talpidae
Exons: 4
Source: RefSeq, a predicted model, not a curated record
AAAUUCCAAAGUUCCCCAAAGUUCUUUAAUGGAACUGAUAAAUCUAUCAGCACAGCAUCCAUUUAGAAGCUAGGACACAGGGAUAUACACUUUCCCCACAGUCUAGGAUAAAGACAAUUGGGUUUCAGAAUCCACAAAGAACACAGCACUCAAGGCCAGUGAUGGACGGGAGGCAAGCCACAACAGAGAUGCCUUCCCCAGACACGCUAAUCACAGUGCUGAGGUCCAGUGAAGGCAACUCAGUGCCUGUGUGCUCAGCAAAGCAGAAUAUCCGACCAACCAGACUUGCUUCUCAUUAGCUUUGAUGCCCCCGAUUGCAGCUAAACUAAGUCCAGGCACUAUUUUCCUGAUGAACUACAAACUGAAAUAAGAAGUAAAAUCUACAGGAAAAAUUCAAAAGUCACCACUUGCGCUGUCAGGCUAGUGGUCUCCAGUUUUCCAACAUGGAAUCUGAAACAUGCACAAUAGGAAGGGAACGGGACAGUCUUAUCAGGAGCAGCACCUCUGAAAAAAACUGUGCAGGGAAUAUCAGGUUAACGGUAAAAUUUCAGUGGUGUCUCAGUACAGAGAUGAAAAUUAUGCUUUUGUAAUUUUAAUCUUCCCCAGGAAAAUGAUAUGCUAUAAUAUGAAUAGUCUUCAUUAUUCAAUAUAUAGAAUGUGCUACUCAACCUGAUGUGGCUGAGUG